GAUGAAGAACGUAGCGAAAUGCGAUAAGUAGUGUGAAUUGCAGAAUUCAGUGAAUCAUCGAAUCUUUGAACGCACAUUGCGCCCCUUGGUAUUCCAUGGGGCAUGCCUGUUCGAGCGUCAUUUGUACCUUCAAGCUCUGCUUGGUGUUGGGUGUUUGUCUCGCCUCUGCGUGUAGACUCGCCUUAAAACAAUUGGCAGCCGGCGUAUUGAUUUCGGAGCGCAGUACAUCUCGCGCUUUGCUCUCAUAACGACGACGUCCAAAAGUACAUUUUUACACUCUUGACCUCGGAUCAGGUAGGGAUACCCGCUGAACUUAAGCAUAUCAAUAAGCGGAGGA
Molecule: unclassified non-coding RNA, 337 nt
Filed under: soil metagenome
Description: partial contains 5.8S ribosomal RNA, internal transcribed spacer 2, and large subunit ribosomal RNA
Rfam family: 5.8S ribosomal RNA (bases 1-120)
Source: RNAcentral